AUUGAACGCUGGCGGCAUGCCUUACACAUGCAAGUCGAACGGCAGCACGGGGGCAACCCUGGUGGCGAGUGGCGAACGGGUGAGUAACAUAUCGGAACAUACCCUAGAGUGGGGGAUAACGUAGCGAAAGUUGCGCUAAUACCGCAUACGAUCUAAGGAUGAAAGUGGGGGAUCUUCGGACCUCAUGCUCAUGGAGUGGCCGAUAUCUGAUUAGCUAGUUGGUGAGGUAAAGGCUCACCAAGGCGACGAUCAGUAGCUGGUUUGAGAGAACGACCAGCCACACUGGAACUGAGACACGGUCCAGACUCCUACGGGAGGCAGCAGUGGGGAAUUUUGGACAAUGGGGGCGAACCCUGAUCCAGCAAUGCCGCGUGAGUGAAG
RNAcentral lists this ribosomal RNA (381 nucleotides) under uncultured bacterium. RNAcentral's name for it is "bacterial SSU rRNA". It matches the Rfam family "Bacterial small subunit ribosomal RNA", at positions 30 to 410 of the family's 1533-position model. The record is from RNAcentral.